This 587-nucleotide ribosomal RNA is filed under the name Vishniacozyma foliicola. RNAcentral describes it as "partial large subunit ribosomal RNA". It matches the Rfam family "Eukaryotic large subunit ribosomal RNA", at positions 70 to 648 of the family's 3401-position model. Lineage: Eukaryota; Fungi; Basidiomycota; Tremellomycetes; Tremellales; Bulleribasidiaceae. The record is from RNAcentral.
AAUGGAUUCCUUAGUACGGCGAGUGAACCGGGAUGAGCUCAAAUUUAAAAUCUGGCGUCUUUCAGGCGUCCGAGUUGUAAUCUAUAGAGGCGUUUUCCGCGCCGGACCGCGUCCAAGUCCCUUGGAAUAGGGUAUCAAAGAGGGUGACAAUCCCGUACUUGACGCGACGACCGGUGCUCUGUGAUACGUUCUCAACGAGUCGAGUUGUUUGGGAAUGCAGCUCUAAACGGGUGGUAAAUUCCAUCUAAGGCUAAAUAUUGGCGAGAGACCGAUAGCGAACAAGUACCGUGAGGGAAAGAUGAAAAGCACUUUGGAAAGAGAGUUAAACAGCACGUGAAAUUGUUAAAAGGGAAACGAUUGAAGUCAGUCGUGUGGGAGGUAUUCAGCCGUCUCUGGCGGUGUAUUUGCCUCUCACGGGUCAACAUCAGUUUGAUCCGGUAGAAAAAGGCGGGAGGAAGGUGGCACCCUCGGGUGUGUUAUAGCCUCCUGUCACAUGUGCCGGACCAGACUGAGGAACGCAGCUCGCAGCAAUGCCGGGGUUCGCCCACGUACGAGCUUAGGAUGUUGACAUAAUGGCUUUAAACGAC